AGCGAACGCUGGCGGCAGGCUUAACACAUGCAAGUCGAGCGGGCAUAGCAAUAUGUCCGCGGCAGACGGGUGAGUAACGCGUGGGAACGUACCUUUUGGUUCGGAACAACUGAGGGAAACUUCAGCUAAUACCGGAUAAGCCCUUACGGGGAAAGAAUUAUCGCCGAAAGAUCGGCCCGCGUCUGAUUGGGUAGGUGGUGAGGUAAUGGCUCACCCAGGCGACGAUCAGGGGCUGGUCUGAGAGGGUGACCAGCCACAUUGGGACUUCGACACGGCCCACACUCCUACGCGAGGCAGCAGUGGGGAAUAUUGGACAAUGGGCGCAAGCCUGAUCCAGCCAUGCCGCGUGAGUGAUGAAGGCCCUAGGGUUGUAAAGCUCUUUUGUGCGGGAAGAUAAUGACGGUACCGCAAGAAUAAGCCCCGGCUAACUUCGUG
Molecule: ribosomal RNA, 435 nt
Filed under: uncultured bacterium
Lineage: Bacteria
Description: partial 16S ribosomal RNA
Rfam family: Bacterial small subunit ribosomal RNA
Source: RNAcentral